GCCCAGAUAGCUCAGUUGGGAGAGCGCUGCCCUGAAGAGGCAGUUGUCCCCGGUUCGAGUCCGGGUCUGGGCA
RNAcentral lists this transfer RNA (73 nucleotides) under Methanosarcinaceae archaeon. RNAcentral's name for it is "tRNA-Phe". It matches the Rfam family "tRNA". Rfam says of the family: Transfer RNA (tRNA) molecules are approximately 80 nucleotides in length. The record is from RNAcentral. Lineage: Archaea; Methanobacteriati; Methanobacteriota; Methanomicrobia; Methanosarcinales; Methanosarcinaceae. RNAcentral also lists the same sequence under 1 other name.